Molecule: long non-coding RNA, 829 nt
Filed under: Olea europaea (common olive)
Lineage: Eukaryota; Viridiplantae; Streptophyta; Magnoliopsida; Lamiales; Oleaceae
Description: long non-coding RNA (OEUR_LNC002626)
Source: RNAcentral
CAAAUGAAUCAGCUAAAUACAAUAUUGUAUAUUCUGUCUUCAUUUUUCUAAGGAAAUAAGAAAUGGAUUAAUUGUUUGAGCCAUAAGAUUUGCUACCAUCAACUCCUAUUGAGAAACAGAAAAAUGGUGGACUUCUCGGUACAUGCUAUCAUAUCUGGGAAUGGCGAAGCUCCUUUUCGACCAGAUGACCAUGGAUUUCCGCCAUUAGUGCUUCCUUGCUAAUCUUCAGGGAAAUUUUUGUCAUUAGGGCUUUUAUUCUCAUCUGUCUUAUCAAAUUGAAGAUCCUUGUAGACCAUCCGUGGCACCACAAAAUUGGCAAUCCAGUAUGCAAAAAGAAGUAUAGCACUGUCAUUGAUGUAAGAAUGGACAUCACUGUUAAAAGAAAUUAUUUGCUGUUAAGAGAUUUAAUUUUAAGUAUAUGCCAUGACAAACCUUGUCUGAAGCAGGACUGCUAUGUCAGGGGAGGCGGCGAGCGGCACUGCAGCGAGAAAGGGGGAAGAAGGUAGAGCCCUGGUCGUAACAGAGAAUCUUUUCCAAUCUUGCUGAAGCCAGGCAGAUUUCUUACUGGAAAAACAAAAGAAUUUGGCCGGCUUAAUUUCUUGCAUAUAUCGACUCUCAGAUAGCGUUGGCGAUCGAAGUGAGUGACAAUCGAUGCACUUCACUUUGUGAUUAGGUUGAAUUUAGUUUUCUGUUCUACAGUUUGUGGCUAAUACCAAAAUUUGAGUGUCGUGUACUGAAUAUGGAUAAUGUUCUGGGAUAUGUCGCUGAACGACAGUUUUUCCAUUUUAUUGACGUGAUUUUUUUUAAGACCUCGACUCACUGGUUAAGG